UUUUUGCGUGAGGGAUUAAAGUGAAAAUCCUUUUUAUUUUUGAAGUGAUAACGGAGAAAUAAAAAGAUUGCAGCGUAAAGCCCGACCCUUG
This 91-nucleotide small RNA is filed under the name Flavobacterium sp. 11. RNAcentral's name for it is "Flavo-1 RNA". It matches the Rfam family "Flavo-1 RNA". Lineage: Bacteria; Pseudomonadati; Bacteroidota; Flavobacteriia; Flavobacteriales; Flavobacteriaceae. RNAcentral also lists the same sequence under 1 other name. The record is from RNAcentral.